CCCUUAGAUGUUCUGGGCCGCACGCGUGCUACACUGAACGGUUCAAUGGGUAAGGUAGUGCGAAAGCAUGACCUAAUCUCGAAAUCCGUUCGUGCUGGGGAUAGAAGCUUGCAAUUAUCCUUCUUGAACGAGGAAUACCUUGUAAGCGUGAGUCAUCAUCUCACGCUGAAUACGUCCCUGCCCUUUGUACACACCGCCCGUCGCUCCUACCGAUUGAGUGUUCCGGUGAGGCUUUGGGAGAAUGGCCUCAACAUGAGUUUAUCGUGUUUUGCCGUUUGAACUUAGUCAAACCUUAUCACUUAGAGGAAGGAGAAGUCGUAGCA
RNAcentral lists this ribosomal RNA (323 nucleotides) under uncultured eukaryote. RNAcentral describes it as "partial 18S ribosomal RNA". It matches the Rfam family "Eukaryotic small subunit ribosomal RNA", at positions 1470 to 1796 of the family's 1831-position model. The record is from RNAcentral.